CCUGACUUUCCAGGCCCUCAUUCUGACCUUAUGAGGCUGCGUCCCUCCACAUGAAGGAAGGUGGUUUCUGGGAGCUGAAGCCUGGAACUUCCUUUGCAUCAUAGAGCCACUCUGCACAAAUGAAGGCAUAAAUUCAAGGGGCCCCUUUGGUGUUUGUUGAUGCCGAUGGUAUGUCACUUGCAGGUAGAAGUAUUUUGGAGUUAAUUCAUUGAAUACUUUGAUUAAACAAUUUUAAUUUUUUUGACCAAAAUGCGACAAAAAUUGGAAUACUUGUUUCUAAAUAAGAAUUAAUAGUAAU
RNAcentral lists this long non-coding RNA (298 nucleotides) under Homo sapiens (human). RNAcentral describes it as "non-protein coding lnc-ADARB2-11:1". Lineage: Eukaryota; Metazoa; Chordata; Mammalia; Primates; Hominidae. The record is from RNAcentral.